RNAcentral lists this ribosomal RNA (449 nucleotides) under uncultured bacterium. RNAcentral's name for it is "bacterial SSU rRNA". It matches the Rfam family "Bacterial small subunit ribosomal RNA", at positions 328 to 794 of the family's 1533-position model. The record is from RNAcentral.
AGACCAGACUCCUACGGGAGGCAGCAGUGGGGAAUAUUGCACAAUGGGGGAAACCCUGAUGCAGCGACGCCGCGUGAGUGAAGAAGUCUUUCGGUAUGUAAAGCUCUAUCAGCAGGGAAGAAAAUGACGGUACCUGAUUAAGAAGCCCCGGCUAACUAUGUGCCAGCAGCCGCGGGAAUACAUAGGGAGCAAGCGUUAUCCGGAUUUAUUGGGUGUAAAGGGUGCGUAGACGGGAAAUUAAGUUAGUUGUGAAAUCCCUCGGCUUAACUGAGGAACUGCAACUAAAACUGGUUUUCUUGAGUACUGGAGAGGAAAGUGGAAUUCCUAGUGUAGCGGUGAAAUGCGUAGAUAUUAGGAGGAACACCAGUGGCGAAGGCGGCCUGCUGGACAGUAACUGACGUUGAGGCUCGAAAGCGUGGGGAGCAAACAGGAUUAGAUACCCCUGUAUC